This is an RNA transcript of Panicum virgatum (switchgrass), 1922 nucleotides long. It is a transcript of the gene named DDB1- and CUL4-associated factor 8-like, with no coding region annotated. The transcript is spliced from 6 exons. NCBI's taxonomy places the organism in Eukaryota, Viridiplantae, Streptophyta, Magnoliopsida, Poales, Poaceae. The record is from RefSeq and is a predicted model, not a curated record.
UCGGCAGAUGGACUAGGAGAAAGAAAGGACGCAGGAGGCGCGCCGAGGGAGGAAACCCUCGUGAACGGCAGCGGCGGCGGCGGCGGCGAUGCCGCUGGAGAGGAAGAGGAUGGCCGGGCUGUGGGAGCGCGAGGUCGGCGGCCUCCCUCCCAGGAGCUUCGCCAACGCCGUCAUGGCCUCCAAGGACUUCGUGCAAUCUCUCAGGAUACAGAAGAGGCUACGGAAGCACAGGGGCUGCGUCAACACUAUAAGCUUCAACGCGGACGGGAGAUUGCUCCUCUCCGGGGCGGACGAUCGGACCGUCGUGCUGUGGAACUGGGUGGAGGCGGUGCCAACCUUAUCGUUCCACACUGGGCACUGUAACAACGUGCUCCACGCGCAGUUCAUGCCCUUCUCGGAUGACCGGAGCGUUGUCACGUGUGCUGCCGAUGGUGAGGUGAGGCAUUCACAGAUACGGGAAGGUGGGCGUGCAACUACAGACAAACUUGUUGAGUUGGAGUUUGCGAUACACAGGUUGGCUGUUGAGCCAGGAAGUCCUUACACAUUCUACUGCUGCGGUGAAGAUAGCUCCGUGUGGCUUUUUGACCUCAGGGGGAAAAAUGCCAUGGAACUCUUUAGAUGUAGGGCUGCAUACCAUGCCCCUGCUGAUGCCACUGAACUCUUUGCUAUUGCCAUAGACCCAAGGAAGCCCUGUUGUUUUGCAGUGGCUGGAUCAGAUGAGUAUGUAAGGAUAUAUGAUACCCGCAAGCUUCGUAUGGAUGGCAAUUCUAUUUUUGGUGACCCAACGGAGCACUUCUGCCCUCCACAUUUGAUUGGUGAAAACAAAGAUGGAAUAACUGGUUUGGCUUACUCACAGACCAGUGAGCUGUUAGCAUCCUAUAGUCAUGACAAUAUCUACCUUUUCUCAAGAGAGCAUGGUUUACACUUCAACAACAUUGAGGUAAAUGAACAACUCCUGAUGGAUGGGACCAAACCCUUAUCUUGUAGGGAUGAGUUGCCUAUACCUAAGACAUUCAAGGGACACCAGAACCAACACACCAUUAAGGGGGUUAACUUCCUUGGGCCCAACUGUGAUUAUGUUACCUCCGGGUCAGACUGUGGCCGUAUAUUUAUUUGGAGAAAGAAGGAUGGGGAGCUGAUCAGAGUGAUGACUGGAGAUAAAAACAUUGUAAACUGUGUCGAACAGCACCCUUCAGGGAUUGUUGUUGCAAGCAGUGGCAUUGAUAACGAUAUUAAGAUUUGGGAACCUGGUGAAGGUGAAAACCCCUCCAUCGCUCCUGUUGACAAGGUUGAGGAAGAUAUGUGGCUCUCCAGCAGCAGUGAUUCUGAUGGCUUUUUUUACAACGACGAUUUGGAAUAUGCAAUGGACUUAGAUGGUAUCUAUGUAUAUGGAAAUGGUGAUGAACAUUCAUCUGAGGAAGAUGAAGAUACAUCAUCAGAGGAAGAUGAUGGUGGUGAUAAUAGUGCCAAAGAAGACGACGAUGGUGACAAUAGUGGCUCAGGAGAAGAAGGUGCUGACGGUGAAAACAGUGCCGAAGAUGUAAGCGAUGGUUGACAAUGAUAUAACAGGCGAGGAAGAUUUUGUUCAGCUAUUAGUUCAAGAGCAGCUGCUGCUAGUUUCAUGUGUAAGGUGAUCUCGGGAGGAGCCAGGCUUCCAACGGCAUAGUUAGGAUUCUCAAUCUCUGCGUGAUGCCUGCUAGGUUAUUGUUUGGUGCUUCCUUUUCACUCUUCAGUGUUUCACCUGUAUAUAUUUUCUUCAGAAUUGAGGUAGUCUAGUCUAGCAACGUGAUGUAAAUGUCUCGUGAAAGAGAUUGUCUGGUGGGAGACUAGUAUAAGAGCAGCUUUGGGCAUCAUGAUAUUGGAUAUAGCAUUAAGUUUUCAUCCACUCAUAUGAGAGUUCAUGAAGAAGUGUUUGUUCUUGA